RNAcentral lists this ribosomal RNA (440 nucleotides) under uncultured bacterium. RNAcentral's name for it is "partial 16S ribosomal RNA". It matches the Rfam family "Bacterial small subunit ribosomal RNA", at positions 338 to 795 of the family's 1533-position model. The record is from RNAcentral.
CCUACGGGAGGCUGCAGUGGGGAAUAUUGCACAAUGGGGGAAACCCUGAUGCAGCGACGCCGCGUGAGUGAAGAAGUAUCUCGGUAUGUUAAGCCCCAUCAGCAGGAAAGCAAAUGACGGUACCUGACCAAGAAGCACUGGCUAACUACGAGCCAGAUGCCGCGGUACUGCGGAGGGGGCCACGGUUAUCCGGAUUUACUGGGUGUAAAGGGGGCGUAGACGGCGCUACAAGUCCGGAGUGAAAGGCCAGGGCUUAACCAUGGUACUGCUGUGGAAACUGGAGAGCUUGAGUGCGGGAGGGGCAGGCGGAAUGCGUGGUGUAGCGGUGAAAUGCGUAGAUAUUAGGAGGAACACCGGCGGCGAAGGCGGCCUGCUGGACCGUAACUGACGUUGAGGCACGAAAGCGUGGGGAGCGAACAGGAUUAGAUACCCCGGUAGUC